GGAGGAGUCGGAUAGUGGUCUAUUCCACAUCCUUGGAAAGGAUGCAAGCGCAAGCUUACGCGAGUUCGAAUCUCGCCUCCUCCGCCA
This 87-nucleotide transfer RNA is filed under the name Candidatus Levybacteria bacterium RIFCSPHIGHO2_01_FULL_40_10. RNAcentral describes it as "tRNA-Ser". It matches the Rfam family "tRNA". From Rfam's summary of the family: Transfer RNA (tRNA) molecules are approximately 80 nucleotides in length. Their secondary structure includes four short double-helical elements and three loops (D, anti-codon, and T loops). The record is from RNAcentral. Lineage: Bacteria; Candidatus Levyibacteriota.